GUAGGCACUAUAUCGCUUUGCAAUAUCAAUUGGACCCAUGGCUAAGAAUUUGAAAUCAGUUGAGUGAAGGCUAGUUGAGUCAUUCCUUAUCUAAAAGGGGAAAAAAAUAACAUGUCCAAGUCAAUUAUCAAUUAUAACAUAGAAUGAAACCAAUCAUCAAUGGACCCAAUAUACAUACACGACGUGAAAACCAAUCUACAAAUUCCCUAUGAACUCUCUUGUCUAUCAAAGAUGAUUGUCGACUCCGAUUUCUCAAUUGUCUUCGUAUAGUGUCUCUAAAUUCCCUACACGAAGUGUCCAAAUUAUAAAUAGUUACUUUCUAAUAAAAGACUAAUUAAUAGAAUUGAUCAAGUGAAAAUACUUACUGAAGAAAUGGGUCAACUAUGGCACUAUUUGUUAGAAUAUGACGAUGUGCCUGUAACUUUUCCU
This 429-nucleotide long non-coding RNA is filed under the name Vigna radiata. Its description in RNAcentral is "long non-coding RNA (VRAD_LNC002330)". The record is from RNAcentral. Lineage: Eukaryota; Viridiplantae; Streptophyta; Magnoliopsida; Fabales; Fabaceae.